AUACGUAGGUGGCAAGCGUUAUCCGGAAUUAUUGGGCGUAAAGAGGGAGCAGGCGGCAGCAAGGGUCUGUGGUGAAAGCCUGAAGCUUAACUUCAGUAAGCCAUAGAAACAAGGCAGCUAGAGUGCAGGAGAGGAUCGUGGAAUUCCAUGUGUAGCGGUGAAAUGCGUAGAUAUAUGGAGGAACACCAGUGGCGAAGGCGACGAUCUGGCCUGCAACUGACGCUCAGUCCCGAAAGCGGGGGGAGCAAAUAGGAUUAGAUACCCUAGUAGUCCACGCCGUAAACGAUGAGUACUAAGUGUUGGAUGUCAAAGUUCAGUGCUGCAGUUAACGCAAUAAGUACUCCGCCUGAGUAGUACGUUCGCAAGAAUGAAACUCAAAGGAAUUGACGGGG
This 392-nucleotide ribosomal RNA is filed under the name uncultured bacterium. RNAcentral describes it as "partial 16S ribosomal RNA". It matches the Rfam family "Bacterial small subunit ribosomal RNA", at positions 523 to 918 of the family's 1533-position model. The record is from RNAcentral.